Molecule: non-coding RNA, 138 nt
Filed under: Neoaquamicrobium sediminum
Lineage: Bacteria; Pseudomonadati; Pseudomonadota; Alphaproteobacteria; Hyphomicrobiales; Phyllobacteriaceae
Description: FMN riboswitch (RFN element)
Rfam family: FMN riboswitch aptamer (RFN element)
About the family: The RFN element is a highly conserved domain that is found frequently in the 5'-untranslated regions of prokaryotic mRNAs that encode for flavin mononucleotide (FMN) biosynthesis and transport proteins. This element is a metabolite-dependent riboswitch that directly binds FMN in the absence of proteins.
Source: RNAcentral
CGUUCUCAGGGCGGGGCGGAAAUCCCCACCGGCGGUAUGCGGCGAUUGCCGCGAGCCCGCGAGCGCCUUCCGCGAGGAAGGGUCAGCAGAUCAGGUGAGAUGCCUGAGCCGACGGUCAUAGUCCGGAUGAAAGAGAAC